RNAcentral lists this transfer RNA (71 nucleotides) under Jeotgalibacillus malaysiensis. RNAcentral describes it as "tRNA-Thr (TGT) (tRNA-Thr-TGT-3-1)". It matches the Rfam family "tRNA". Rfam says of the family: Transfer RNA (tRNA) molecules are approximately 80 nucleotides in length. The record is from RNAcentral. Lineage: Bacteria; Bacillati; Bacillota; Bacilli; Caryophanales; Caryophanaceae.
GCCCGGUUAGUUAAGUGGUCUAACGGCUGACUUGUAAUCAGCAAACAUCGGUUCAAAUCCGGUACUGGGCU